RNAcentral lists this unclassified non-coding RNA (137 nucleotides) under plant metagenome. RNAcentral's name for it is "partial contains 5.8S ribosomal RNA, internal transcribed spacer 2, and large subunit ribosomal RNA". The record is from RNAcentral.
AAGACAGUCGGCGCUCUUCGACCGGUUCAUCUUGGCCCCGCCCAGGAUGCAAGCUUCAUGCCCCCCUGAACUACGGGCCGGUCAUUUCCGUUGCAAUGCGGGUGCCGCGCAGAGCGGUUUCGGGCUCCGGGCGUCGA